CGAGGACUCCUCAGACAGCCCUGACUCUGAGGAGACCCCCAGAGCAUCUUCUCCCCACCAGGCUGGCCUGGGCCUCUCACUGACACCUUCCCCUGAGUCCCCACCUCUGCCGGAUGUUAGUGCCUUCUCCAGGGGCACAGGUGGGGGUGAAGGCCGAGGAUCCGCAUCCAGCGGGGGAGCAGCUGCGGGCGCUGGGGUUGGAGGCUUGUCUGGACCGGAGAGUGUUUCCUUUGAGCUCUGCUCCAACCCUGGUGUUCUUCUUCCUCCACCUGCCUUAAAAGGGGCUGUUCCUCUUUACAACCCAUCUCAGGUGCCUCAGGUA
This 322-nucleotide long non-coding RNA is filed under the name Pan troglodytes (chimpanzee). RNAcentral's name for it is "long non-coding RNA NONPTRT001343". Lineage: Eukaryota; Metazoa; Chordata; Mammalia; Primates; Hominidae. The record is from RNAcentral.